AUUGAACGCUGGCGGCAGGCCUAACACAUGCAAGUCGAAUGGUAACAGGAAACAGCUUGCUGUUUCGCUGACGAGUGGCGGACGGGUGAGUAAUGUCUGGGAAACUGCCUGAUGGAGGGGGAUAACUACUGGAAACGGUAGCUAAUACCGCAUAACGUCGCAAGACCAAAGAGGGGGACCUUCGGGCCUCUUGCCAUCAGAUGUGCCCAGAUGGGAUUAGCUAGUAGGUGGGGUAACGGCUCACCUAGGCGACGAUCCCUAGCUGGUCUGAGAGGAUGACCAGCGCGACUGGAAGUGAGACACGGUCCAGAGUCCUACGGGAGGCAGCAGUGGGGAAUAUUGCACAAAGGGCGCAAGCCUGAUGCAGCCAUGCCGGGUGUAUGAAGAAGGCCUUCGGGUUGUAAAGUACUUUGAGCGGGGGGGAAGGGAGUAAAGUUAAUACCUUUGCUCAUUGACGGUACCCGCAGAAGAAGCACCGGCUAACUCCGUG
RNAcentral lists this ribosomal RNA (490 nucleotides) under uncultured bacterium. RNAcentral's name for it is "partial 16S ribosomal RNA". It matches the Rfam family "Bacterial small subunit ribosomal RNA", at positions 30 to 507 of the family's 1533-position model. The record is from RNAcentral.